UACGUAGGUGGCGAGCGUUAUCCGGAUUUACUGGGUGUAUAGGGCGUGUAGGUGGUUCUGUAAGUAGGGCGUGAAAGCUCCCGGCUCAACUGGGAGAGGCCGUUCUAAACUGCAGAGCUAGAGGAUGGUAGAGGGAGGUGGAAUUCCAGGUGUAGCGGUGGAAUGCGCAGAUAUCUGGAGGAACACCAGUGGCGAAGGCGGCCUCCUGGACCAUUCCUGACACUCAGACGCGAAAGCUAGGGUAGCAAACGGGAUUAGAUACCCCGGUAGU
RNAcentral lists this ribosomal RNA (271 nucleotides) under uncultured prokaryote. RNAcentral describes it as "partial 16S ribosomal RNA". It matches the Rfam family "Bacterial small subunit ribosomal RNA", at positions 524 to 794 of the family's 1533-position model. The record is from RNAcentral.